AUCAUUUUAAUUUUUUUCUUGCGUCCCUCUUCUUCUUCUUCCUUUUUCACCACCAACUUCCAGCCACCAUAACUCCUCCAUGCGGCCUCCUUUGAAAACCCCACAGCCAUCAAUGAAUUCAUCUCUUCUCCCUCUUCAAUAACCACUAAUUUAUUUUUAGAUUGGUGAGAGUUUGAAAAACUCCAAUCACCACUUUCACUCUCAAUUUUCGGCCACCAUGAGACUCUUUUUGAGAAAUAAAAGUGACAAUAUUCUUUUUCAUGAUGACCUCUACCAAACCUCUCAAUUUAUUUCAUGAUCUGGGUACUUUCACCGGAGACCACCGUGCCGGAAGCUGCUGCAGCCGCGCCGGAAAACUCAAGGUAAAAGAAAGGGAAACAGAAAUCCAAGGCUGGCUAUGUCAUUUUCUUUCAUUUGCAGCAAAGCUAAACAAUUCUGAUUCAUAAAAGUUUUCAUUAAAAUUCUAAUUUCACAUAAGCAUUUAGUUGGAUUUUGAUUUUGAGUAUGUGUUUGUAGAUGCAUAUGUAUAAACAUGUAUGUUUCUUA
This is a long non-coding RNA of Medicago truncatula (barrel medic), 546 nucleotides long. RefSeq lists it as uncharacterized. The transcript has 2 exons. NCBI's taxonomy places the organism in Eukaryota, Viridiplantae, Streptophyta, Magnoliopsida, Fabales, Fabaceae. The record is from RefSeq and is a predicted model, not a curated record.